Molecule: microRNA precursor, 75 nt
Filed under: Haemonchus placei
Lineage: Eukaryota; Metazoa; Nematoda; Chromadorea; Rhabditida; Trichostrongylidae
Description: mir-5928 microRNA precursor family
Rfam family: mir-5928 microRNA precursor family
Source: Rfam by way of RNAcentral
GGCACAAACUUGAAGUGGAGUAGUUUAAUAGGGUCAGAUGAUCCUUCUAAUCUACUCUGCUUCAAAUUUGGGCCC